UUGUACAGAUCAUAGACGAACAACGACCAACAGUGGUUUCUAGGAACGGUACGGUUUUAGACUAUAAAACCCAGAGUAGAGGUGUAGGUUGUUCUACAACGAACGAAACUCUAGAGACACUUAAUAGCAGUAAGAGCUUAGUACCACCUCCAUGUGUUCAGGAGAUCGAUGGGGAAACUAAUACGAUUUGGAACAACCGGUUAGUUCGUAUUUAGAAAAUCGUAGUAGACAUACGGCUGUUAUACAAUUCA
This 251-nucleotide ribosomal RNA is filed under the name Triticum aestivum (bread wheat). Its description in RNAcentral is "partial small subunit ribosomal RNA". Lineage: Eukaryota; Viridiplantae; Streptophyta; Magnoliopsida; Poales; Poaceae. The record is from RNAcentral.